GAAAACCUGGCUUUACAUUUAAAUGUAUUAGAGGCCAAUUCCUAUUUGCAACUAUAGGAAUAACCAACCUUAUGGUUUCAUGUCUAACUACAGGUGCAAAUACUUCAAACCGUAUAAACCAUACUUUUGUAGGAAUCCUCUAUAUACUAAUCUUGUCUUAUGCUUAGCAUCUAAACCAUAUGGCUUCAACUUUAUCUUU
This 199-nucleotide long non-coding RNA is filed under the name Lathyrus oleraceus (garden pea). Its description in RNAcentral is "Pisum sativum (pea) long non-coding RNA (PSAT_LNC042109)". Lineage: Eukaryota; Viridiplantae; Streptophyta; Magnoliopsida; Fabales; Fabaceae. The record is from RNAcentral.